RNAcentral lists this long non-coding RNA (641 nucleotides) under Capsicum annuum. RNAcentral describes it as "long non-coding RNA (CANN_LNC003697)". Lineage: Eukaryota; Viridiplantae; Streptophyta; Magnoliopsida; Solanales; Solanaceae. The record is from RNAcentral.
UCCUCCACAACAUCCACUUUCUUGUUUUUAGGCAUUGCAGGUUCUGGAGUUGGUGCCUUCUCAGGAGACUUCUUUUUUACAAAAUGCAGUAAGGUGAUCAGAUAACAUGGCACAAUAUAGAGGUUAGUCAACAUACAUAUGACAAAACCAAAUACUUUCUUUACCUUGUUGAGCUGUACAACAGCAGCAUCUUCAGUGACACCUUGUCUCCUCAUCUUGCUCAUAGCCUUCUUGUGGUAACCUACAAACCUCUCCAGUUCCCACAUCGUUUCAUUGUCAAUGAGCUCAAAGUCAAGCUCAAUCUCAUUCCCAUCCUGUGUAAGAUUAGGGGUCUUCUUCUUUACAAUUUGCAAAGCAUGAUCCAACUUCACUAGGGGAAGAUCCUGCAAGUCAGCCCCUAACUUCACCUUUUCCUCAAAGGUCAUUUGCCUUUUGUUUGGAUCCUUAGCCUUGGGCUUGGGCAAUUUAGCUGAACUAGGCGUUGUAAUGACAGGAUGUGGAGGAGAUUUUAAAGCAGGGGUUGGGGUUGCAAAAAUAGGUGCAACAGGGACCUGAAAUUGGUGUUGAUUCAACAAUGUGGAUUGCAACCUCACAGAGUCUGAUUUUCUAGCAACCGGCAACUGUUGAUGUAAGGCAUUUGG